UGGUGGAGUGGUUUGUCUGGUUAAUUCCGUUAACGAACGAGACCUUAACCUGCUAAAUAGUUACGAGAAUCUUUUGAUUCUUGGAUUAACUUCUUAGAGGGACUAUUGAUGUUUAAUCAAUGGAAGUUUGAGGCAAUAACA
This 141-nucleotide ribosomal RNA is filed under the name uncultured eukaryote. RNAcentral's name for it is "partial 18S ribosomal RNA". It matches the Rfam family "Eukaryotic small subunit ribosomal RNA", at positions 1299 to 1458 of the family's 1831-position model. The record is from RNAcentral.